This 914-nucleotide ribosomal RNA is filed under the name uncultured marine archaeon. Its description in RNAcentral is "bacterial SSU rRNA". It matches the Rfam family "Archaeal small subunit ribosomal RNA", at positions 1 to 922 of the family's 1478-position model. The record is from RNAcentral.
UUCCGGUUGAUCCUGCCGGACCUGACUGCUAUCGGAUUGAUACUAAGCCAUGCGAGUCUUUGCAGUAAUGCAAGGCAUACGGCUCAGUAACACGUAGUCAACUUACCCUAUGGACGAGGAUAAUCUCGGGAAACUGAGCAUAAUACUCGAUAGAUCAUAAUGCCUGGAAUGGUUUAUGGUUGAAAUGAUUCGUCGCCAUAGGAUGGGACUGCGGCCUAUCAGCUUGUUGGUGAGGUAAUGGCCCACCAAGGCGAUUACAGGUACGGGCUCUGAGAGGAGAAGCCCGGAGAUGGGUACUGAGACAAGGACCCAGGCCCUAUGGGGCGCAGCAGGCGAGAAAACUUUGCAAUGUGCGAAAGCACGACAAGGUUAAUCCGAGUGAUUUCUGCUAAAGAAAUCUUUUGCAAGUCAUAAAACCACUAGUGAAUAAGGGGUGGGCAAGUUCUGGUGUCAGCCGCCGCGGUAAAACCAGCACCUCAAGUGGUCAGGAGGAUUAUUGGGCCUAAAGCAUCCGUAGCCGGCUCUGUAAGUUUUCGGUUAAAUCCAUGUGCUCAACACAUGGGCUGCCGAAAAUACUGCAUAGCUAGGGAGUGGGAGAGGUAGACGGUACUCGGUAGGAAGGGGUAAAAUCCUUUGAUCUAUCGAUGACCACCUGUGGCGAAGGCGGUCUACCAGAACACGUUCGACGGUGAGGGAUGAAAGCUGGGGGAGCAAACCGGAUUAGAUACCCGGGUAGUCCCAGCUGUAAACGAUGCAGACUCGAUGAUGCAUUGGCAUAUAGCCAGUGCAGUGUCGCAGGGAAGCCGUUAAGUCUGCCGCCUGGGAAGUACGUACGCAAGUAUGAAACUUAAAGGAAUUGGCGGGGGAGCACCACAAGGGGUGAAGCCUGCGGUUCAAUUGGAGUCAACGCCGGG